This 254-nucleotide ribosomal RNA is filed under the name uncultured bacterium. RNAcentral's name for it is "partial 16S ribosomal RNA". It matches the Rfam family "Bacterial small subunit ribosomal RNA", at positions 524 to 776 of the family's 1533-position model. The record is from RNAcentral.
UACGGGGGGAGCAAGCGUUGUUCGGAUUUACUGGGCGUAAAGGGCGCGUAGGCGGUCAGCACAAGUCAGUUGUGAAAUCUCCGGGCUUAACCCGGAAAGGUCAACUGAUACUGUGCGACUAGAGUGCGGAAGGGGCAACUGGAAUUCUCGGUGUAGCGGCGAAAUGCGUAGAUAUCGAGAGGAACACCUGCGGCGAAGGCGGGUUGCUGGGCCGACACUGACGCUGAUGCGCGAAAGCCAGGGGAGCGAACGGG